GAGAGGAGGAGGUCUAGGCUAAUUGACGGAGCUUGGGCGGGGAAGUGUUGCAUCAGAGACGACUAGGGAACAUGAAGGAGCCAGCCGUGACAGCUGAGGCCAUGUGAGGCAGAUCCUGAAUGAGGCUUUAUCUCUGCUCUUGGUCCUACCAUCCACUGUGACACCAGCUCCUUCGGCGGCGGCCGGGAUGGGACAGGCAACUGAGAGAGCCAAAGAGGUGAUGGUGACCACACCCCGGACGGGGAGAGGAACGGGACUCUGGGCCUCUAGCUGCCAAGCAGGUGGUGGGGGCUCUAGGCCAUGACCCAUACCCUCUAACCCCUGACACUGCCCUCUGCCC
This 340-nucleotide long non-coding RNA is filed under the name Neogale vison (American mink). RNAcentral describes it as "Neovison vison (American mink) lncRNA (ENSNVIG00000016859.1)". Lineage: Eukaryota; Metazoa; Chordata; Mammalia; Carnivora; Mustelidae. The record is from RNAcentral.